CCUGUUUAUCAAAAACAUAGCCUCAAGGGCCAUAAUUUGAGGUACAACCUGCCCAGUGGCUAAGCUAAACGGCCGCGGUACCCUGACCGUGCUAAGGUAGCAUAAUCACUUGCCUAUUAAUUGUAGGCUAGUAUGAAUGGUCAAACGAAAGCGAAACUGUCUCUUCUACAACUAUAAAAACUAAUCUUUUAGUGAAAAAGCUAAAAUCACCAUAUAGGACAAAAAGACCCUGUAGAGCUCAAUUUAAUGCCGUGCUAACAUCUACUUAUAAACAUUCUCCACGGAUAAAUAAUUUGGUUGGGGCGACCCAGGAAAACACAAAUCUUCCUUAUCAACAAAGAAUCAUCUUUCCACCAAAUGAACCUAAUCUACGACAAAAGAAAAGCUACCUCAGGGAUAACAGACUAAUUUUCUUCAAAAGACCAAAUUUACAAGAAAGCUUGGCACCUCGAUGUUGGCUUAGGUUCCCAUUUAAAUGCAACAGUUUAAACAGGAGGCUUGUUCAUCCUUUAAUUACCUACGUGAUCUG
This 529-nucleotide ribosomal RNA is filed under the name Macrochaeta sp. 200422. Its description in RNAcentral is "partial 16S rRNA". It matches the Rfam family "Bacterial large subunit ribosomal RNA", at positions 1799 to 2607 of the family's 2925-position model. Lineage: Eukaryota; Metazoa; Annelida; Polychaeta; Terebellida; Acrocirridae. The record is from RNAcentral.